UACAGAGGUCCCAAGCGUUGUUCGGAUUCACUGGGCGUAAAGGGUGCGUAGGCGGUCGGGUAAGUCUGAUGUGAAAUCUCACAGCUUAACUGUGAAACUGCAUUGGAUACUAUCCGGCUAGAGGAAUGGAGGGGAGACUGGAAUACUUGGUGUAGCAGUGAAAUGCGUAGAUAUCAAGUGGAACACCAGUAGCGAAGGCGAGUCUCUGGACAUUUCCUGACGCUGAGGCACGAAAGCCAGGGGAGCAAACGGG
This 253-nucleotide ribosomal RNA is filed under the name uncultured bacterium. RNAcentral describes it as "partial 16S ribosomal RNA". It matches the Rfam family "Bacterial small subunit ribosomal RNA", at positions 524 to 776 of the family's 1533-position model. The record is from RNAcentral.